This 284-nucleotide ribosomal RNA is filed under the name Ruminococcus callidus. RNAcentral describes it as "partial 16S ribosomal RNA". It matches the Rfam family "Bacterial small subunit ribosomal RNA", at positions 493 to 776 of the family's 1533-position model. The record is from RNAcentral. Lineage: Bacteria; Bacillati; Bacillota; Clostridia; Eubacteriales; Oscillospiraceae.
UCUGGUCCUUUUGUGCCCGCAGCCGCGGUAAUACGUAGGGAGCGAGCGUUGUCCGGAAUGCCUGGGUGUAAAGGGAGCGUAGGCGGGAUGGCAAGUCAGAUGUGAAACCUGAGGGCUCAACCUUCAGACUGCAUUUGAAACUGCUGUUCUUGAGUGAAGUAGAGGUAAGCGGAAUUCCUGGUGUAGCGGUGAAAUGCGUAGAGAUCAGGAGGAACAUCGGUGGCGAAGGCGGCUUACUGGGCUUUUACUGACGCUGAGGCUCGAAAGCGUGGGGAGCAAACAGG